Carassius auratus (goldfish) is the source of this 1235-nucleotide long non-coding RNA. RefSeq lists it as uncharacterized. NCBI's taxonomy places the organism in Eukaryota, Metazoa, Chordata, Actinopteri, Cypriniformes, Cyprinidae. The record is from RefSeq and is a predicted model, not a curated record. The transcript has 3 exons.
UCCCACUCUACCUAUUCCAAACAGGCCUUCUGAUGACUCAAGUUCCUCAUGCCUCCACCAAGAAACCAUGAAUGACGAAUUAUCAAGUGAUGAUGUGCUAUCCAGACAUGCCACUGCUAUUGUGAUGACUGCUAGAGAGAAACAUCAUCUCUCACAGAGUGGUGUGAAUGAUGUUGUGGCUGAGGUUCAGGCGUAUCAAGCUCAGUUACUGAACAGCUUGAGGAGUCAGCUACAAACAGUAUUCAACAGACAUGCAGGAAGUGAACUUCAGCGAGAAGCUUUGGGACUCUUUGACUCCUUUAAAGAUCCAUUUGCUGCAGUUUCAACAUCAUAUAGACAGGACAGUGUCAUAAAAGAAAAAUUCAAUUUUGUGGAAGCAGAAGAGGUUUCAGUCGGAUUAGCAGUAUGUCGUCAGAAAAGAAAAAAACAAAGAGACCUCGCAAUAAAAAAAAAAAUGUUUCCAUUAUAUACCCCUGAUAAAGAGUUUAGAACAAUUAAUGUCUCAUCCAAAAAUCUUUGCCAUGAUAAAUGGUGGAUCUCAGAAAUGCAGCAGUGGAUAUUUUUAUGACAUCAUAGAUGGUGAACUAAUGCUUUCACACCCUUUAUUUUCUUCUAGACCCUCUGCUUUACAGAUAAUUCUUUAUUCAGAUGAAAUCGAAAUUUGCAAUCCACUUGGGUCUCAAGCUUCAAAGAAUAAGUUGCUCAUGUUUUACUACACUUUGGGAAACAUUAAUCCAAAGUACAGGUCAAAAUUAGCUUCAAUCCGCCUUCUUGCUAUUGCAAAGCAAAGUGAACUCUCAGAAUGUGGAGUUGAUGCCAUAUUGGCAAGAUUGCAUGAGGACUUGGUAAAGCUAUAUAAUGGCGUGAAGAUUCAUCUUCCAUGUGGUGAACAUGAGAUAUAUGGAGCAGUGGUUUCCGUAUGUGGAGAUACUUUAGCUCAACAUGAGUUAUGUGGAUUUAAAGAGGGUGUGGGCUUUGCAUACAGUAAAUGCCGACAUUGUGAAUGUUCUUUUGAAGACAUGCAAAUGUUUUUUAAUGAUGAAAACUUUGAGCAAAGAACACUGGAAAGACAUAUUCGACAGUGUAGUGACAUUGAGAAAGCCAGUACUGAAUAUCUCAGGAACAGCCUUAAAACUACAUAUGGAAUAAACCGAAGGAGCAAAGUAAUGGAUUUCCCUGCCUUUAAUUUAAUCCAUCAAACUCCUCAAGAUAUAAUGCAUGUAAUUUUUGAGGGC